RNAcentral lists this long non-coding RNA (212 nucleotides) under Lathyrus oleraceus (garden pea). RNAcentral's name for it is "Pisum sativum (pea) long non-coding RNA (PSAT_LNC015462)". The record is from RNAcentral. Lineage: Eukaryota; Viridiplantae; Streptophyta; Magnoliopsida; Fabales; Fabaceae.
AAAAAGUUAUGCAAUUAGGGUUGUGAUUGCACAAGAGUUGUGCUUUAAAGUAUCAAGUGUUGAUGCGAAAAACGACGUCGAUUUUAAAUGAAUUUUUCAUUAAAAUUUUCGGUCAGGGGCGCUGCCCCUUCAACCCCGCAAGGGGCGCUGCCCCCUUAACCCCUGUCCGCUGACCGGGCAGCGGACCCUGGCUAACUCUGCGUAGUGUGAUC